Molecule: ribosomal RNA, 431 nt
Filed under: uncultured bacterium
Lineage: Bacteria
Description: partial 16S ribosomal RNA
Rfam family: Bacterial small subunit ribosomal RNA
Source: RNAcentral
CGAACGCUGGCGGCAUGCCUAACACAUGCAAGUCGCACGAGACCUUCGGGUCUAGUGGCGCACGGGUGCGUAACGCGUGGGAAUCUGCCCUUGGGUUCGGAAUAACUCGCCGAAAGGCGUGCUAAUACCGGAUGAUGACGUAAGUCCAAAGAUUUAUCGCCCAAGGAUGAGCCCGCGUUGGAUUAGCUAGUUGGUGAGGUAAAGGCUCACCAAGGCGACGAUCCAUAGCUGGUCUGAGAGGAUGAUCAGCCACACCGGGACUGAGACACGGCCCAGACUCCUGCGGGAGGCAGGAGUGGGGAAUAUUGGCCAAUGGGCGAAAGCCUGAUCCAGCAAUGCCGCGUGAGUGAUGAAGGCCUUAGGGUUGUAAAGCUCUUUUACCCGGGAUGAUAAUGACCGUACCGGGAGAAUAAGCUCCGGCUAACUCCGUG